UCUUUCCUAACCCUCCCAUUCC
Molecule: microRNA, 22 nt
Filed under: Malus domestica (apple)
Lineage: Eukaryota; Viridiplantae; Streptophyta; Magnoliopsida; Rosales; Rosaceae
Description: mdm-miR482c
Gene: mdm-miR482c
Source: miRBase by way of RNAcentral